RNAcentral lists this ribosomal RNA (727 nucleotides) under uncultured archaeon. RNAcentral's name for it is "bacterial SSU rRNA". It matches the Rfam family "Archaeal small subunit ribosomal RNA", at positions 193 to 922 of the family's 1478-position model. The record is from RNAcentral.
GCUCCGGCGGCAUAGGAUGGGCCUGCGGCGUAUCAGGUUGUAGGGGGUGUAAUGUACCCUCUAGCCCUCUACGCGUACGGGUGUUGAGAGACAUCGCCCGGAGAUGGAUUCUGAGACACGAAUCCAGACCCUACGGGGUGCAGCAGGCGCGAAAACUUGGCAAUGCGAGAAAUCGUGACCAGGGAACUCCAAGUGCAUCGGGUAAGACCGAUGCUUUUCUUGACUCUUCAAAGGUCUUGGAAUAAGGGGUGGGUAAGGACGGUGCCAGCCGCCGCGGUAAUACCGGCGCCCCAAGUGGUAGUCGCUUUUAUUGGGCCUAAAACGUCCGUAGCCGGUCAGGUACAUUCGUGGGUAAAUCAACCAGCUCAACUGGUUGAAUUCUGCGAGCACGGCCAGACUUGGGACCGGGAGAGGUGUGGGGUACUCUCAGGGUAGGGGUAAAAUCCUGUCAUCCUGAGAGGACCACCUGUUGCGAAGGCGCCACACUAGAACGGAUCCGACGGUCAGGGACGAAGCCUAGGGGCACGAACCGGAUUAGAUACCCGGGUAGUCCUAGGUGUAAACGCUGUGGACUUGAUGUUGGGGGCGCUCCGAGCGCACUCAGUGUGGAAGCGAAGGUGAUAAGUCCACUGCCUGGGGAGUACGGUCGCAAGGCUGAAACUUAAAGGAAUUGGCGGGGGAGCACCGCAACCUGAGGAUUGUGCGGUUUAAUUGGAUCAACGCCGGG